UGUGACGGCAUUUAGAGCAAACCUGAAUAAUUUAGGAUUAUUUCAGCUCAAGAUCCUUAACCACAUCUGCAAAGAUCCUUUCCUCAAAUGAACGUAACGUUCAUAAACUUGGGAAUUGGGGUAUGGACGUACCUUUGGGAGCCACUACAGCCUUCCACACAGUUUCAGUAACUUACUGUAACAAAGACCUGUGUGAAUCUGCUCCAGGAUAACCUAAAACAUUCUAACCUGAAGCCACAGUUCUCUCUAGAGAGAUUCUGAGCACCUGAGAAGAUCCUCUGCAGAGUUUCUUUCAAAAGAAGCCCAGGAUCAGAUAUCCAGAGAGCUUGCCUCCAACUCAAUCCUCAUUUUUAAUCAGACAUUUGUAAUCCAUAUUAGAAGAAAAAUCUAUGAGACCAAAUGGGAUCGAACUCGGGUCCUUGUGCUUGUGCAGCAGGCGGCGAAACCACUGAGCUAAAUCCCUGGCCCUAAGUCCUCAUAUUAAAUCUAUGACACAGGUACUCUUAUUUUUAAUAUACAUACAUAGAG
Molecule: long non-coding RNA, 528 nt
Organism: Heterocephalus glaber (naked mole-rat)
Lineage: Eukaryota; Metazoa; Chordata; Mammalia; Rodentia; Bathyergidae
Source: Ensembl